RNAcentral lists this ribosomal RNA (802 nucleotides) under uncultured bacterium. RNAcentral describes it as "bacterial SSU rRNA". It matches the Rfam family "Bacterial small subunit ribosomal RNA", at positions 8 to 812 of the family's 1533-position model. The record is from RNAcentral.
AGAGUUUGAUCCUGGCUCAGGAUGAACGCUGGCGGCGUGCCUAACACAUGCAAGUCGAGCGAGAAACUUAUGACGGAAGCUUCGGUUGAAGUCAUGGGUGGAAAGCGGCGGACGGGUGAGUAACGCGUAGGCAACCUGCCCUUUGCAGAGGGAUAGCCUCGGGAAACCGGGAUUAAAACCUCAUGAUGCCGUGUGAAGACAUCUUCAUAUGGUCAAAGAUUUAUCGGCAAAGGAUGGGCCUGCGUCUGAUUAGCUGGUUGGUGGGGUAACGGCUCACCAAGGCGACGAUCAGUAGCCGACCUGAGAGGGUGAUCGGCCACAUUGGAACUGAGACACGGUCCAAACUCCUACGGGAGGCAGCAGUGGGGAAUAUUGCACAAUGGGGGAAACCCUGAUGCAGCAACGCCGCGUGAAGGAAGAAGGCCUUUGGGUCGUAAACUUCUGUUCUGAGGGAAGAAAGUGGCGGUACCUCAGGAGCAAGUCCCGGCUAACUACGUGCCAGCAGCCGCGGUAAUACGUAGGGGGCAAGCGUUAUCCGGAAUUAUUGGGCGUAAAGAGUACGUAGGUGGUUACCUAAGCACGGGGUAUAAGGCAAUGGCUCAACCAUUGUUUGCCUUGUGAACUGGGCUACUUGAGUGCAGGAGAGGAAAGCGGAAUUCCUAGUGUAGCGGUGAAAUGCGUAGAUAUUAGGAGGAACACCAGUGGCGAAGGCGGCUUUCUGGACUGUAACUGACACUGAGGUACGAAAGCGUGGGGAGCAAACAGGAUUAGAUACCCUGGUAGUCCACGCCGUAAACGAUGA